GCCAGCAGCUAUAGCUCUCUGCAAUUCUCACAUGGUCGCCCACAGAAGGUAAGCAGGGCUGGUCAGUACCUGGAUAGGAGACCACAUGGGAAAGCUAGGUUGCUGCUGGAA
RNAcentral lists this ribosomal RNA (111 nucleotides) under Danio rerio (zebrafish). The record is from RNAcentral. Lineage: Eukaryota; Metazoa; Chordata; Actinopteri; Cypriniformes; Danionidae.